CAAGGAAGGCAGCAGGCACGCAAAUUACCCAAUCCCAGCUCUGGGAGGUAGUGACGAAAAAUAACAAUGCGGGACUCUUCCGAGUCUGCGUAAUUGGAAUGAGCACACUUUAAAUCCUUUAGCAACAACCAAUUGGAGGGCAAGUCUGGUGCCAGCAGCCGCGGUAAUUCCAGCUCCAAUAGCGUAUAUUAAAGUUGUUGCGGUUAAAAAGCUCGUAGUUCGAGUUCAGUUUCGGACUGGGGUGGGAGGUCACCGCCCGGUGCUUGCCCCCUAGGCUCCGAACAGCUUCCGUGAGUGGAAGCCAAGCCGGUUCUGACGGGGUGCUCUUUACCGAGUGUCCCGUGCGGCCGGCCAGUUCACCUUGAAUAAAUGAGAGUGCUCAAAGCAGGCUACUCUGGAAUACAAUGCCGGAAUUUGGUUGCAUGGAAUGAUGGAAGAUGAUCUCGGUUCCAUUUUGUUGGUGGUGGGAGCCCGAGGUAAUGAUUGAGAGGGACUGUCGGGGGCAUCCGUACUACGACGCGAGAGGUGAAAUUCAGUGACCAUCGUAGGACGAACAACAGCGAAAGCAUUUGCCAAGAAUGUCUUCGUUGAUCAAGAACGAAAGUUAGAGGAUCGAAGGCGAUCAGAUACCGCCCUAGUUCUAACCCUAAACGAUGCUGACUAGCAAUUCGCCGUCGUUAUUCCCAUGACGUGGCGAGACGCCCCCGGGAAACCUCAAGUUUUUGAGUUCCGGGGGUAGUAUGGUUGCAAAAGUGAAACUUAAAGGAAUUGACGGAAGGGCACCACCAGGAGUGGAGCCUGCGGCUUAAUUUGACUCAACACGGGAAAGCUCACCAGGCCCGGACACCAGAAGGAUUGACAGAUUAAGAGCUCUUUCUCGAUUUGGUGGGUGGUGGUGCAUGGCCGUUCUUAGUUGGUGGAGUGAUUUGUCUGGUUAAUUCCGGUAACGAACGAGACUCUGGCCUACUAAAUAGUGGACGUUGGUUUUGGUGCAUGGGCCACGUUCGACACAGUCUUCUUAGAGGGAUGAGCAGCGAGUAUAGCUGCAGGAGAUUGAGCAAUAACAGGUCUGUGAUGCCCUUAGAUGUCCUGGGCCGCACGCGCGCUACACUGAAUGGGUUAGCGGGUUGUCCUUGUCCGAGAGGAGCGGGAAAUCGCGUGAAAACCAUUCGUGAUAGGGAUUGGGGCUUGCAAUUGUUUCCCAUGAACGAGGAAUUCCCAGUAAGCGCAAGUCAUCAGCUUGCGUUGAUUAAGUCCCUGCCCUUUGUACACACCGCCCGUCGCUACUACCGAUUGAAUGAUUUAGUGAGGCCUUCGGACUGGCGGUCUUGGACUGGGUUGUGCGGUUACUUGCAGCAAUGCGGUGCCGUGGACUCGCCUAGACGGGCCGGAAAGAUGUCCAAACUUGAUCAUUUAGAGGAAGUAAAAGUCGUAACAAGGUUUCC
RNAcentral lists this ribosomal RNA (1445 nucleotides) under Macrobrachium suphanense. Its description in RNAcentral is "SSU rRNA". It matches the Rfam family "Eukaryotic small subunit ribosomal RNA", at positions 417 to 1804 of the family's 1831-position model. Lineage: Eukaryota; Metazoa; Arthropoda; Malacostraca; Decapoda; Palaemonidae. The record is from RNAcentral.